AAUACUUCGUAAAACAGAAUGAGGACUGUCCAUGGUUUUCAGAGCACUGAGCAGUGGGACAGCCUGCCUUGCCUUUUUUUUUGCUACCAUUGUAUACAGGACUGCUUUGUCUCAGCCGACAGAACCAGCAAGCCAGAAAGAUGUGUAUCUUCAGUGCACUGGUGUAACUGAGCUAAAUGCCAAGUGAGCUCCCUGCUGUGCGCCGGCCAUCCACCUGCCAC
This 221-nucleotide long non-coding RNA is filed under the name Vulpes vulpes (red fox). RNAcentral's name for it is "lncRNA (ENSVVUG00000012558.1)". Lineage: Eukaryota; Metazoa; Chordata; Mammalia; Carnivora; Canidae. The record is from RNAcentral.